AUCAAGUAUGAUUAUUCAGGUUGCUAGAUUAACACCUCGGGGUGUAUGAAACACGAGAUAAUUAAAUCUCGAGCCCCAUACUAAACUUCGUCAUACGCAUGACCCCCGUGCAGAUCAUAUCUGCGAUGCCCUUUCAUCUGCGAAUUUCAUCUUUCUUUUGACUACGGCAGAACCCAAAGAACUGAUAGCACUUCCAUGAUCAAUCAGGAUCACGGAUUGCCAGAACUUUGUCAAAUUCCACCAUGCUGUCUCGAGAUUGAGCAAACGCAAAUUCUAGGGAAGCAACAAGAACCUCGGGUAACAGAUUUCAUCUGUCACCCGCAUAAAUAAUUUUCAGCAAUAGAUCUCAUCUACUACCUAAUUAUAUUAUGCAAUACCCAUACAUCUCCAUGUAUUCUAGAUCGAAACCUACAUCUAUGCAUAGCACGGCUCUUGAUGCCACUGUAGGGGAACGCAGCAGAAAACAAAAAAUUUCCGACCUACGCACCAGCCUAGGACCACUAUGGAGACUGCAUACAUGGUUUGAUCUUUUUCGUUACCGACUCGUAGCGCAGCGGGAAGUAGAGUCGAUGACGAUCGGCGGUGCAGAUCCCCGCAGCUAGGAUUUACAACCUCCCAACCGCGAGGAUGUAUACCCUCAUCUGCUCCUCAGACAGCCCUCCAGGAGGCGGUCGAACAGCCCCCCGGACGGUGUCGCGGACAGCCCUUCGGGAGGACCUUCGAAACUCGAACGGUCACUCGGACAGCCCUUCGGGAGGACCUUCGAAACUCGAACGGUCACACGGACAGCCCUUCGGGAGGCACUCACGAACUAAGACCGAAACUACGAUCUCUCUACAGAGUUGCACACAUACGGUGUCAUCUAUCCGGCAGGGCUUCGCCGUCCAGAACUAGUUCCUGCCGGAACCCAGACAGCCUUACGGCUCUACGAAACUCUUUUCGUGGGAGGGAGAGAAGAAGCCAGAUAAUGCAUGGCAUGUGUAUGAGAGUAAGGGAUGGAUGUGGAGGGCUGCCCCUCCACCUCCAUUUAUAGGAAAUCCCAAGGGGGUAGGGUAGUUUCACAAAAAACCCAAAAUGCACAUGAAUGAAGUCCUUCCACAAGGACCUAGGAGUGAAACCAAGGAACAAGAGGGUCCCCAAGGGGGGAUACCUCAUGUGGCCGGCCACACCCCCAUGAGGGGCCCAAAAAAUGGCUCCUAUCCAUCCAUGUCAUCCCCAAGAUCUUUUGGAGCAAAGCCCCAAAAGGUGGCUUUCCAUAAAGCAACCAUAAAGCUGAUUUUCACUAUUCACGACGACAUUUUUCAGCGUCUGAUCGAACUGAAAAUAUUUAUGUGGGCUAAGAACAUUUCCAGUACCCACUAAAAUGAUUUUCAACGCGUUCCGAAACAAUUCCGGUUUUAGUGAUUUUCAUCUGCGAAACGCAUCUGAAGUGGCUCCGGCAGCUCCGGAACAUUUCCGGUUUUUAUCUCAGAAAAUUCCAAAAAGCUUCCAGAAUGAUUCUGGCAUCCUCCAAGAAUUAUCAGGCAUGUGCCGAAACCAAUUUGACUUAAUGGUGUAUCCCGAAACAACUUUUCGGUAUCAUCGAAACUUAUCCGAUGACCUCUCUCUGCGGUACGAUUCCGCUGUCCGAAACUUUUCGGUGUCCGAAACUUUUUCGGUGAUUUUCUCUCAGACUCCCUGUCUAGUAUACAGCAGAUAGAUGACCCUUAAGCGUGUGACCCUAUAGGUUCGGUGAAGUAUAGACAUGACCCGGAACCCCUUCCGAUCAAUGAUCAACAUCGGAGCCGUGGACACCCAUAUUGACCCCUAUACCCACACGAAUAAAUAUUCGAGUGAACCUCCAGUUGCCGUGUGCUAUUCCUGUUGCUUCGCGAUAUGUUACAAAUACCCGAGGUGAGACAUGUUGGCAUUCCCGUGGAUCAACAACUUGUCCACUAUGCUAGUUACCUCGUUACCGGUAUUGUUCUCUUUUCUCGUUAUCGUAUUCCGGCAUCCCCGUGAUCAAAUCACAAAGUGUCUGGCCAGACGAUGAUGGAUACCGUAACACCGAGAGGGCCCAGAGAUAUCUCUCCAUCGUCGGAGGAGCAAAUCCCAAUCUUGAGCUAUCAAGUUACUUGACACACUUUUCCAUGAACCCGUAAGCCGCCAUAAUAGCCACCCAUUUACGGAUGACGUUUAACAAACCCCAAAGUUCAUGAAGCAAGCAUGAAGAAACUCGAUACUCUCAUGGUCUAAGGAAUCAUGCAAACGUUAACCAUCUCUGUGUUAUGUACCAAUAAACUUGUGACGAAUGAAUCUCAUAGCAUAACAUCAAUCCGGGUCGAUUCAACACAAAUGUUCUCUUAACAUUGUGCCCUCAAAGUUGCUGGCAUAGACAUGCCCAUGACCAGGAAAACAGAAUCAUCAUGCAACACUUGAGCUAGUCUUAGAGGCCAGACUAGGAAUACUUUUUACCGUUUAUUAUUCCACACGUGCAUUUGAGUCUUCCUCCGAGCCUCGUGGAUAUUGCAGACUCGAGAAUCAUUGCAGUUAUAGCAUGGAACAUAAACAUAAUUAUGAACUCGGAGAUAAAUAAUAUCAUUUAUUAUUGCCUCUAGGGCAUAUCUCCUACAACUUAGUCCCCUCCUCAAGUUAUCUUUAAUGAAUUUGUAGUCCGCCUGUUUAUUAUAGCACUGGCGAAAGGUCUCCGAGGGGCUUUACAACCCCGCCCCCAGCCAAAGGACCACAACCGGGACCUUGACCCUGGAUUCGAGGAGGAUCCGGAUAUAGUCGUGACGCUCGCGGACGGGAUGUUUUACCAAGCGAGUUACGAUGGCACGGAAGUGGCCAUCAUCGCGGACUACCCUGGUCUUCUUCCCGCCUCCCAUGUAAGUAAUUAGGAGACAUCUUCCCCGAAAGGGUUCCGCCUCACCCACCGCACCGUGUUGUGCUCCAAAGGGGAGGCGUUCAACUGUGACGCCCGGAUAAUUAGACUACAGUAAUUCCCUGCUAAUGAUGCCACGUCACCUCUGUCACUGUAGUUAAUCUCGGGUUAGUUCAAAACCGAUCCAAAUUCAAAAUUGAAUUAAAGGCAAACAACAAAAGUUUUCAAACUUUAAAACUAAAAUGUCUUGGUUGUGCCAAGUAAUGCAAAGUUAAUUGUGGUGAGGAAACCCCACUUUUAUAAAAUGUUUUAAUACUCUAAAAUGAUUAAAACAGUAGUUAAAACGAUUAAAUAAGUGCCUUUGAUAUUUUUAUAAAAGCAUAAACUAUUUUAUUUUGAGUUAAAACUUUUUAGGGUAGUGGGUUGUGUUGAAACACUAAUUUGGAGGUAUUGACAUAUUUUACUAAACUAAGAAUAAAGUGUAACUAAAAUAAAACAGAAAAGGAAAAAGAAUAAAAAGAAAAGAAAACCAUAAAAAAAUAAAGCCCCCCCUUGGCCAACCGGGCCAGACGGCCCAGUUGGCCAGCCCACCGGCCCAGCCGGCGCCCCUCACACUCUCCAUAACCCCGAACCGACGGAAACCCUAGCCCACCACCCGCAACAACUCCCACUCCCCCCACGAUCCCCACGCUCCUCUCCUCCUACCCCCGAUCCAGAUCGGGAUCGUGGUACUCGCCUCCGCCGUCGCCGCCCGGUGCCGCCCUGGCCCCGUCGCCAACCACCGCCACUCGCCGGACGCCUCCCCACUCCUCCCUCAGCCCCCAGCUUGCAUCGGGGGGUCGACGCCAUCGCGCCUGGCUCCACCUCGCCGGAGCCCUGCCGCCCGCCACGCCGUCUCCAUCGCCUGCACCUCGACGUCGCCCCGGACCGCCCUGACGUCGUCGGUGCCGCCUUGCUGGACGACCCCGACCUCGUCGCCGCCAUCCGUUUACCUCAUGCCCUCCCCGAGCACGCCAUUGCACAACGACAGGCUCGAUGUGAGCCUCUUCCCCUCCCCUCUCCCUCGCGCGAACCCUCCUGCCCGCGCUGCGCGCGUGCUCGCGCUCGUCACCGCGGCCCUCGCACCGGCCAUCGCCCCGCGCGCUCCUGGCUUCCGCGCCCACUGUGACCCCUAACGCCGCGCGCCCGUUGGCCGUCCACCGCGCGCCCGCAACCGCGCGGCUCUGCCAUAACCACCUCCUGCCAUCCCCUCAUGCGCGCGCCAUGCCGCGGCCUUGUCCCCGCAUCGCGCCUGGGCCGUGUGCCCCGCUCACGCCCCUGGUCGUUCUCCGGCACCACCGCGCGCUGCCCGCCCUCCGCCUAGCUCCACCAUGGCCUCCUCCGUCCACCUACCCUCCCCGCGCUCACCGCCGGCAACCGCUCGCCGUCCUGCCACCGGCGCCUGUUGCCGCGCUGCCCUGCUCCGGCCCAUCGUGGCCGGCGCUCCCCUACCCUGGUGGCCUGGUGUGCGGGCACCCCUUUGCCCGCACCCGUUAGCGCCCAUGCCCGCUAUGCCCCCCCAGGCCUAUGACAAACGGGGCCCACGCCCAGAACAAAAAAAGGAAUAAAUAAAUAGAUAAUUAAAAAUAUUUAAAAUAUUAAUUAAUUAAAGAAUUAAUUAACUUUAUUAAUCCUGAUUAGAUUAGCCUAAUUAACUAAUUAACUAUUGUUAAUUAGCUAACAGAGCAUGACAUGCUUGACCCACACGUCAGUUUUACCCAGUCAACGCCCCGUUGACUGUUGACGUCAUGUUGACGUCAUGAUGACGUCAGCAUACACUAUUCUGGUUAAUGUUGAAUUAAAAUAAUUAAAUAAAUUCUAAAAAUGAUUAAAUUGUCUAAAAUUAAUCUAAAAUAAACCGUAGCUCGGAUGGGAAAACCUUGUACAUGAAAGUUGCUCAGAAUGACGAGACGAAUCCGAAUACGCAUCCCGCUCGUCUACCACACAUCCCUAGCAUAGCGAACACGCAACUUUCCCCCUCUGGUUCAUCUGUUCGAAAACGCGAAACUCCGGGGAUACUUUCCCGGAUGUUUCCCCCCUUCGCCGGUAUCACCUCCUACUGCGUUAGGGCACACCUAGCACCGUUACUUGACAUGUCAUGCAUCGAUAUGCAUCUAUUUGCAUUGUAUUCAUUGUUUCUUCCCCCUCUUCUCUUCGGUAGACUACGAGACUGACGCCGCCACUGCUGCCCCGAUCGACUAUGGUGUUGACGACCCCUCCUUCUUGCCAGAGCAACCAGGCAAGCCCCCCCUUGAUCACCAGAUAUCACCUAUUCCUUCUCUCUACUGCUUGCAUUAGAGUAGUGUAGCAUGUUACUGCUUUCGGUUAAUCCUAUUCUGCUGCAUAGCCUGUCAUUGUUGCUACAGUUGUUACCUUUACCUGCUAUCCAAAUGCUUAGUAUAGGAUGCACGUGUUCCAUCAGUGGCCCUACACUCUUGUCCGUCUGCCAUGCUAUACUACUGGGCCGUGAUCACUUCGGGAGGUGAUCACGGGCAUAUGCUAUAUACUUUAUACUGUUACAUUACUUAUGAUACUGUUUGGAGAUGGGGGCUGAAGGGGCAGGUGGCUCCAUCCCGGUAGAGGUGGACCUGGGUUUCCGACGGCCCCCAACUGUUACUUUGUGGCGGAGCGACAUGGCAGGUUGAGACCACCUAGGAGAGAGGUGGGCCUGGCCCUAGUCGGCGUUCGCGGAUACUUCAAUUUACACGCUUAACGAGAUCUUGGUAUUUGAUCUGAGUCUGGCCACUAGCCUAUACGCACUAACCAACUAGGCGGGAACAGUUAUGGGCACUCGACGUCGUGGUAUCAGCCGAAGCCUUCUGGACGUCAGCGACUGAGCGGCGCGCGCCGGAUUGGACUGGAACGCCUGCUCUUGUAUUAGGGAGGCUAGGUCUGCUUUCGGCUGCCCUCGCAACGUGCAUGUGUGCAAUGGGCGAUGGGCCGAGACCCCUGCGCCAUAGGAUUUAGACCGGCGUGCUGACCUCUCUGUUGUGCCUAGGUAGGGCUGCGACGUGUUGAUCUUCCGAGGCCGGGCAUGACCCAGGAAAGUGUGUCCGGCCAAAUGGGAUCGAGCGUGUUGGGUAAUGUGGUGCACCCCUGCAGGGAAGUUUAUCUAUUCGAAUAGCCGUGAUCUUCGGUAACAGGACGACCCGGAGUUCUACCUUGACCUUAUGACAACUAGAACCAGAUACUUAAUAAAACACACCCUUCCAAGUGCCAGAUAUAACCCGGUGAUCGCUCUCACACAGGGCGACGAGGGGAGGAUCGCCGGAUAGGAUUAUGCUAUGCGAUGAUACUUGGUGAACUUACCAUCUGCUCUCUUCUACAUGCUGCAAGAUGGAGGCUGCCAGAAGCGUAGUCUUUGACAGGACUAGCUAUCCCCCUCUUAUUCUAGCUUUCUGCAGUUCCUUCCACCGAUAUUGCCUCUUUACACAGAUACCCAUGCAUAAGUAGUGUAGAUCCUUGCUUGUGAGUACUUUGGAUGAGUACUCACGGUUGCUUUUCUCCCCCUUUCCCCCCUUUUCCUUUCUUCCUGGUUGUCGCAACCAGAUGCUGGAGCCCAGGAGCCAGACGCCACCUUCGACGACGACUCCUACUACACCGGAGGUGCCUACUACUACGUUCAGGCCGCCGACGACCAGGAGUAGUUAGGAGGCUCCCAGGCAGGAGGCCUUCCCUUUUCGAUCAUUGUUGCUUUUGUGCUAGCCUUCUUAAGGCAAACUUGUCUAACUCAUGUCUGUACUCAGAUAUUGUUGCUUCCGCUAACUCUUGUGUUUUCGAGCUUAUGUAUUCGAGCCCUCGAGGCCAUGGCUUGUAAUAUAAGGCUUGUAUUAUUUUAAUUUGUGUCUAGAGUUGUGUUGUGAUAUCUUCCCGUGAGUCCUUGAUCUUGAUCGUACACAUUUGGGUGGAUGAUUAGUGUACGAUUGAAUCGGGGGCGUCACAAGUUGGUAUCAGAGACGACUGCCUGUAGGAAUCCCCCUUUCCACCUCCUUGGCCGAAGUCGAGUGUAGUCAUUGCAAAACUUUUACUAACAUGGCUGUGUGUCUUACGGACCCACGUCGCCAUUGGGUGGUAUUAGGAUCUUUUACUCCUAGUCUAUACUCUGAGAUUCUGAUCUCUCUUCUAUUCGGGUUAAAUGGUUUUGCUAACUCUAACUCUAGGUUCUCGUAAAUACUUUCUCCCAGAGAGCUCCUUCAUUCCAGAUGAUGGCCGACUUCACCAGAAGAUUUCAAAGAUACUCUUCCAUAUUCACUCGAGACUUUGUGCCCACCGCUUUUGCUAUUCCCGACCAUCGAUAAAAACUUAUGGGUAACUGCAUACACUUGUCGUCCAUAGCUUCACUUCCAAUUGUUCUUGUUAUUACAAGAUACCCUAAAAUACUUCGGAUAUUCCGAGAAUACUUUGUGCCUGCUGCCUUGCAGUUACUAGCCACAUAAAUACCCCUGCGGAUAAUUCCUCGCACUUGCCGAGUAUCCGCUCAUCCCUAGCCGUUCAUGUGUUUCAAAUAAGUCCUCGAAAUACCAUUCGAAUUUCUGAAAAUCCUCAGCAGCCCAUUGCUCUUGAUUUCCUUGCCUUCUUGCAUUAUGGUUAAUUCCAUACUUGUAGUAAUCUCCGUUGGCAUCCUCUAUCACUGUCAUUUCGAGUCACUUGAUUCGAUAUGUUGCAAAUGCUCGCAAUCCUCAAUCAGAUCCUAGAAUUCAUCCUUCCGGCUCAGACGUCAUUUUGAACAUGAGCUGGCCCUCGACCAAUCAAGUUGUCGUCGAAUGUACCCCUAAGUCUAUUCAACUUAUCCAUUCUUAAUCAUAGCGUCUGCUUCUGAUCCCUUGGUGAGAAAUCACAAUUCCUUUACAUUUGAGCUUUGAAUUAGUCAGUUGUUUCUAUACUCCAAUGCCUUUCCAUUGUUUCUUCUUCUGAUUGUGUGCCGAUGCUCACAUCAGCUCCGUUGUGGACCGCCAGUUCAUUUGUUGGGUUUUAUCCGACAACGUCCUUCAUAUUCAAUAAGCUUGUGAGCUUUUCCUUAGAUACAUAAUGCCUUUGGUAAAUUGUAUCCUCUGCUUUCUCAAGCAUGCUCUACUAUCGAGUUUGUGUUAUUUAUUCUCGAAAUUUGUGGUAUAUGCUCCAAAGAUGCCCCGAUGGGUUGAACCUAUGCCUUCCUUAAUCUAUGUGAACCCGAAAGAUUUCACGGGUCAUACUUAUCUGGUAUUGCACCAGGUAAAACUUUCAACACUAAUGCCAUUUUCGAAAACCGAGAGGUGAAUGAAAGGUUAUACAUUGAAGAAGUGGGAGUCGACCUUGAACUUGUGUUCAUGCCCAUGGACCCGAUGUGGAACUUAUCAUGGAAGCUUCCUGCAAAAGUAUUGAAUCAUUUGAAUAAUUCUUCCGGAGUCAUUAUAUUGGAUCCCUUGCAGCUAUGGUUCCAACCAUGCUAACUUUACUUAAUAUAUUUCUGAAAGGAAACCAUUCCAGUACCUCGUCUAUUUUGAGAAAGUUAAAGUAUCUGCUAUCGUUACUCAACAAUCCAGUUCAGUUUCUAUCCUGAGCUACUUUCGAGUAUUACCCCCUGGUAUCUCGAGGAUACCAACCCAUUGCACUUCAUCUUAUGAAUUUCUGAUGAAGUAAUACCUUUCCCUAUCAUAUUCACUCCACGAGUUCUAGGUUGUCGUCAACCGAGAACACCAAAUAGUGAAUCGAGUCCGCACUGCUAUUCGACAACUCUUAGUAAUCUUCAUUGCUUACGAGUUUUGUACUCGAUCAUGUCAUUCCCAACUGAUUGACUACAUCAUCAUCGUCAGGCUGACUGCUUGACCAUUCUACCUAUGUCCUUCAUCCCCGGGACACAAUCCCGACAGUGCUCUAAGCUUACAUCGAACUUUCCGCAUCAUAUUUUUUGUCUUGAGAGACAACUCCGAAUUAUGAGAUGGCAUCUUAUCUAUGGUUAUAAUAACUUCAUCAUUCCCUUUGUGUGAUGUCGUCGCCCAUCGAUUACAUCUUCUUGAAACCUGUCGAUAAAUGUGUCAUGGUCAUCGUCAAAAUUUUAACUUCUUCCGAGACGUACAUUGAGUUCCUUAGGAGAGAAUUCCAUGCUUGCCCCCUCGAUGAUUUGUGUUAACAUCGACAACAUUAUUGAUCUCCCUCCCAACACAAAACUUGUUCUAGUUUUGCGUUGUACAUUGAGUUCCUUGCUAUCCGACUUAUGUUAUGCUCUACCUUGGAGUAUUACCAUCGUUUAUGUCAAGAAUGUCGUGAGAAUUUCACCACCUCUUAUGAAUUAUUGAUGCAAGUAAUACUUCUCACCAUAACCUUUCCUUCUUGGUCCCGUGUUGAAUCUAACCGGGAUACCAACAAGUGAACGGUGCUGCUGGGAUUCUGUACUUCUAGCAACCCUAUUGCUUUGAAGUUAAUGGCCGAUAGUUCAUCCUCAGACUAUUGGUUAUUGAAUCACCAUUCUAACAUGGUCAUGCUACAUAAGCCCAUAUUUUGGGUGCACCUUUCAACCAAUGUUCAAGUGUGUAUGUUUUCCUCGAGCAUACAUCAUUAUAUCAUUUGAUCUGGCAAAUGUUAUCUCCUUGUUCACAUAAUUGUGGAAAUCCAUCCUUUGGGAAUCUCGAUGAUUUGUCGCUGAGUCCAUCAGCCACCUUCUCAUCCUCUCCUUGGUUUACUGAUGAACUCUUGUUUCGGAACUCGCUUCCAUAGUUCAUUUCCCAAGAAUCUUAUGAUGUCUUCUCGUCAAUUCGUGUCGCACCUUUUUAUCUCAGGAUCCUAAGUCUGAGGUAUCCUGAUACCAAUCAGAUCUGAAUCUCGGUCAGAUAUGAUGGUUGGAACAUAUUUCCAAGAGUUAUAACAUUGGUCGUUAUAAGACCCAGUAAGGUGAUGUCAUGCCUAUCGCACCUGGGUGGAGGACCUACUUUUAUAGUAUCCUUUUUAGCAAGGUUAACCAUUCUUCCAUGAGGAAAUUGUCAGACUUAUUCUAUAAGUUGUUCCUGACGAAUCCUUUGUGUAUCCAAGUCCGACCUUGCUCGAAGACCAUGUCAAUGCUAUCUCGAAGCAUGUCUGUGGUAAUCCGAUUUUCAACAAGAACAUUUGAAGCCCAAUGCUAAAUGUUUCUCGCUCAAUUAUCCAAACACCGUUGUAUGGGUAAUGUCAUGAAAUUUCUCUCCCCUUACCUAAAAGGGUUAUCUACUUUAUACCCUAUCAUGGAUAUCAUGCUCUGCUUAUCCUUGGGAAGGAUAUAACCCUGAAGCACAUUUUCCUCCCCAUUGUUCUGAUUAAACCUGGUAAUCACCUUUCCUUUCCAUUGGUUUGCUUAACCCUUCUUGUGAUCUAUAUUUUAUAAGUAGUAGUAUUCUUCUGCUUAUGUAGAACACCUUAGUGUACAACCGUGUCAGUAAGACCCUUUUGCUUUUGUUGAUAGCAAUCCGGUAACCACCGAUGGAUGAGAACUUUGCCUAUUGGUCUGCCUCGUUCAACGAGCAGGAAAAUGGUUCUCUUCGUCCCUCGCCCUUGGUACUGAUGUUGUUGCCGACAUAACCGACAGACUAUCCCCUGACAUGCCUUGCUUUCAUGAUCGUGCAAGACGUCACCGCCCUUCCUCCUUUUAACCCACAUGGUGGGCCCAUAACCCACAGUUCCACAGGAUCGAAACCUAACUCUCCUGUACACCCCCUAUUACCAAAGUUAUUCCUCGCGCGUGGCCUUGUGUGUAAUUCAGGAGCCACCUUCCGAUGAGAUCAUCAAUCUGGUAUCAGACGCAAAUACUUAUUCCCAUUGCUCUGAACCCUUUUCACACUUCUCUUCAGGCAAUGAACGAUUGCCUAUGCGCUUGAAACUUCUAUUUUGCACCUUCUCACUUUGCUCUCGAUAUUGUCUUAAAUUUAAAUUCGAGAGUUACUUUCCGCCACCUUCCUCGUUGUUGUCUACCAGAUAGUCUACCCUACAGAGGUCCAUUCUUCCGGUAUACCCCCUUAAUCUUUAGUUAGUAUGAUGAAGACUCCGAAGGAAGGAUGGCCACUUCAUCUUGAUGACCUGGAGCUGAGAAAUGAAGACAUCACCAAAAGGGAUCAAUUACUUCGGGAAGAGCAACCAAGACCGAGAAGAAUCGUUCGAAUUUUGUAACCAGAACUUUCCCCCUUACUCCCCUCUUAAAUCUCGGGACGAGAUUUCUUGUACUGGAGGAGAAUUGUGACGCCGGGACAAUUAGACUAUAGUAAUUCCCUGCUAAUGAUGCCACGUCACCUCUGUCACUGUAGUUAAUCUCGGGUUAGUUCAAAACUGAUCCAAAUUCAAAAUUGAAUUAAAGGCAAACAACAAAAGUUUUCAAACUUUAAAACUAAAAUGUCCGGGUUGUGCCAAGUAAUGCAAAGUUAAUUGUGGUGAGGAAACCCCACUUUUAUAAAAUGUUUUAAUACUCUAAAAUGAUUACAACAGUAGUUAAAACGAUUAAAUAAGUGCCUUUGAUAUUUUUUAUAAAAUCAUGAACUAUUUAAUUUUGAGGUCAAACUUUUUAGGGUAGUGGGUUGUGUUGAAACACUAAUUUGGAGCUAUUGUCAUAUUUCACUAAACUAAGAAUAAAGUGUACCUAAAUAAAAUAGAAAAGGAAAAAGAAUAAAAAGAAAAGAAAACCAGAAAACAAAAUAAAAGAAAAAAGCCCCCACUUGGCCAACCGGGCCAGACGGCCCAGCUGGCCAGCCCACCGGCCCAGCCGGCGCCCCUCACACUCUCCAUAACCCCCCACUGACGGAAACCCUAGCCCACCACCCGCAAGAACUCCCACUCCCCCCACGAUCCCCACGCUCCUCUCCUCCUACCCCCGAUCCAGAUCGGGAUCGUGGUACUCGCCUCCGCCGCCGCCGCCCGAUGCCGCCCCGGCCCCGUCGCCGACCACCGCCACUUGCCGGACGCCUCCCCACUCCUCCCUCAGCCCCUAGAUUGCAUCGGGGGAUCGACCCCAUCGCACCUGGCUCCACCUCGCCGGAGCCCUGCCGCCCGCCACGCCGUCUCCAUCGCCCGCACCUCGACGUCGCCCCGGACCGCCCCGAUGUCGUCGGUGCCGCCUUGCUGGACGACCCCGACCUCGUCGCCGCCGUCCGUCUACCUCAGGCCCUUCCCGAGCACGCGAUUGCACAACGACAGGAUCGAUGUGAGCCUAUUCCCCUCCCCUCUCCCUCGCGCGACCCCUCCUGCCCGCGCUGCGCGCUCGCUCGCGCUCGUUGCCGCGGCCCUCAGACCGGCCAUCGCCCCGCGCGCUUCUGGCCACCGCGCUGCCCCCGCCCACCGGCGUCGUCCGGCUUCCGCGCCCGCUGUGACCCCUGACGCCACGCGCCCGUUGGCCGUCCACUGCGCUCACCCGCAACCGCGCGGCUCUGCCGCAACCACCUCCCGCCAUCCCCUCGCACGCGCGCCAUGACGCGGCCUUGUCCCCGCACCGCGCCUGGCCCGUGUGUCCCGCUCACACCCCUGGUCAUGCUCCGGCACCACCGCGUGCCGCUCGCCCUCCGCCUAGCUCCGCCAUGGCCUCCUCCUUCCACCUACCCUCCCCGCGCUCAACCCCGGCAACCGCUUGCCGUGCCUGCCUCCGGCCGCCGGCGCCCGUUGCUGCGCUGCCCCGCUCCCGCCCGUCGUGGCCAUCGCUCCCCUCCCCUGGUGGCCUGGUGUGCGGGCACCCCUUUGCCCGCACCCGUUAGCGCCCAUGCCCGCUAUGGGCUGUAGGGUAACGCAUCAGAAAACAAAAAAUUUCCGACCUACGCACGAGCCCAGGACCACUAUGGAGACUGCAUACAAGGUUUGAUCUUUUUCGUUACCGACUCGUAGCGCAGCGGGAAGUAGAGUCGAUGACGAUCGGCGGUGCAGAUCCCCGCAGCUAGGAUUUACAACCUCCCAACCGCGAGGAUGUAUACCCUCAUCUGCUCCUCAGACAGCCCUCCGGGAGGCGGUCGAACAGCCCCCUGGACGGUGUCGUGGACAGCCCUUCGGGAGGACCUUCGAAACUCGAACGGUCACUCGGACAGCCCUUCGGGAGGACCUUCGAAACUCGGACGGUCACACGGACAGCCCUUCGGGAGGCACUCACGAACUAAGACUGAAACUACGAUCUCUCUACAGAGUUGCACACAUACGGUGUCAUCUAUCCGGCAGGGCUUCGCCGUCCAGAACUAGUUCCCACCGGAACCCAGACAGCCUUUCGGCUCUACGAAACUAUUUCGCUGGGAGGGAGAGAGAAGCCAGAUCAUGCAUGGCACUUGUAUGUGAGAAGGGAUGAUCCUUUUGGCAGCCCCCUCCACCCCUAUUUAUAGGCCAAGCCCAAGGGUGGCUUCUCCAAGAAGCCAAGGGGGGAAAUACCAAAAAGGCCCUCAAGGUGGCUUCUCCAAGAAGCCAAGCAAAAAGCACUUUCACUAUUCAUGACGACAUUUUUCAGCGUCCGUUCGAACUGAAAAUAUUUAUGUGGGCUCAGAGCAUGUCCAGUACCCACUAAAAUAAUUUUCAACGCGUUCUGAAACAAUUUCGGUUUAGUGAUUUUCAUCUGCGAAAAGCAAACAAGAAUGCGUUUUCACUAUUCAUGAAGACAAUUUUUCGCGUCCACUAAAUCCGAAAAUAUUUCUGCGGGUCUUAGAAUAAUUCUAGUACCCACUAAAAUGAUUUUGGAUUCGUUCUGAAACAAUUUCAGAUUAGUGAAUUUCAUCUACGAAAAACAGCCAAAGUGGUACCGGCAGCUCGGAAACAUUUUCGGUUUUUAUUUCUGAAAAUUCCAAAAAGUUUCCAGAAUGAUUCUAGCACCCUCCAAGAAUUAUCAGGCAUGUGCCGAAACCAUUUUGACUUAAUGGCAUACCCCGAAACAACUUUUUCGGUUUCACCGAAACUCAUCCGGUGACCUCUCUCUGCGGUACGAUUCCGCUGUCCGUAACUUUUCGGUGUCCGAAACUUUUUCGGUGAUUUUCUCUCAGACUCCCUGUCUAGUAUUCAGCAGAUAGAUGACCCUUAAGCGUGUGAUCCUAUAGGUUCGGUGAAGUAUAGACAUGACCUGGAACCCCUUCCGAUCAAUGAUCAACAUCGGAGCCGUGGACACCCAUAUUGACCCCUAUACCCACACGAAUGAAUAUUCGAGUGAACCUCCAGUUGAGGUGAGCUAUUCCUGUUGCUUCACGAUAUAUCACAAACACCUGAGGUGAGAUUUAUUGCAUCCCCGUGGGCCAACACUUUGUCCACUAUGCAAGUUACCUCGUUACCGGUUUUGUUCUCUUUUCUCGUUUCGUGUUCCGGCAUCCCCGUGAUCAAAUCACAAAGUGUCUGGCCAGACGAUGAUGGACACCGUAACACCGAGUGGGCCCGAGUAUAUCUCUCCAUCAUCGGAGGAGCAAAUCCCAAUCUCGAGCUAUCAAGUUACUUAACAUACUUUCCCAUGAACCCGUAAGCCGCCGUAAUAGCCAUCCAGUUACGGAUGACGUUUAACAAACCCCAAAGUUCAUGAAGCAUGAAGAAACUCGAUACUCUCAUGGUCUAAGGAAUCAUGCAAACAUUAACCAUCUCUGUGUUAUAAACCAUUAACUUGUGACGAAUGUAUCUCAGAGCAUAACAUCAAUUCGGGUCGAUUCAACACAAAUGUCCUUCCUGACAUUGUGCCCUCAAAGUUGCUUGGCAUAGACAUGCCCCUGAUUGGGAAAACAUAAUCAUCAUGCAACACUUGAGCUAGUCUUAGAGGCACGAAUAGGAAUACAUUUUACCGUUUACUAUUCCACACGUGCAUAUGGGUUCUCCCCAGAGCCAUUAUGGAUAUACGGGCUCGGGAACCACAACAGUUAUAGCAUGGAACAUAAACAUAAUUAUGAACAGGGAGAUAAUCAAUAACAUUUAUUAUUGCCUCUUGGGCAUAUCUCCUACAGACUCCCACUUGCACUAGAGACAAUAAUCUAGCUUAUGCUAAUGCACUUCACACCUGUGGCACACCGGUGUAAAUAUGCUUCGCUUGUGGUAUAACCUGAUGUCCAACGGAUCUGACGACUUCAGUUCCGUGUGUAUCUUUGCAUGUCCUCGCGUUUUCACGUUUUCACAAAAUUCAUAUUUUGUGUGGACUUGGCUUUGUAUGUAUGUGAAUCACAGGUCGAACCUGGAUUCCUCAGACUGAGUUAUGGAGCAACUACCUGCAGUAGUGUCCCAUUGUCAAAAGCCAUCUUGGAACUAUACUAAGUUCAUGAAUGAACUAUAUGAUUCAACAUCUUCUUUGUCGCUUCUAAAGCGUCAACAUACUUAGCCCAUGUUAUAGAAUUCGCCACAGUAACUAGUUUGAACAAAUUCCAACUAACUGUGCCACCACAUUGUGUGUUACACAAAACCCUUAAUUUAAAUCGAAAAUCGCAUGGAGAAAAGAUGAAGAUUGUAUCGAUGUAACAUUUUACAACGAACUCUUCAUGAUCUCUGCUUGCGAGAAAACCAUGUCAUCAAUACUUACUCUAGUACUCUGUGACAUCUUUCACUGUUGUCCCAUGAUCAGUAAUUUGAUCACUUUGGUAUCCAUACUCGCAACACCUUGGGAGUAUCGGACAUAUCUGGUUGUUUUACAUACCAUGGAAUACAUGAUUAAUCCAAACACAAGAGUGUGUGGAAUCUCCAUCAUGUAUUUUACUCAUCAGUGUUUUGGGACACCGAGUCUUGCAAAAACUAUUUCCAUGUGACUUUGGCAAGAAUCACUCCUUGGCGUUUUAAAUGCAAAAAGGUUUUAGCAUCUUGUCAAUAUGUAUUCAUUGCUUAGCCCCAUUAGGUAAAUCUAUCUCCAUAGAUCAUCAUGCCUAAUAUUGAGGCUAUUUAGCCUAAGCACUUCAUCGAAAAACUAUUUUCAAAUGAAGUCCUAAUUUGUGUCAAGAAAUUUAUUUCCAAUUACCAAUGUGCCAAGCACAUAAGGUUUUUAGAAAUAUUAUUACGCUCCCACUUACUUUCUUGAAUUACAAGCAUCUUUGUUACCCAUUGAUGAAGUCAAAACCCCUUUGACCAUUUCAUCAAAACACGAAGAUUCCAACUCCAUUUUGCUCUCUUUUGUCCAUUGCUGGAACUCUGAAGUUUGCAUACCUCCUAGCAUCCUCUGGAUCGACAAAUUACUUUGGACUGUAUCAUAUACAAGUCCUAGCUUUCAUUUCCAUCAGAUGGAAAUCCUUUUAUCAUCCAUGUUUCAUAUCUCGUGAUUGAAAUAUGUAUUAAUUGCUAGUUCAACCCGAACCGACUUUAAGCAUCGCUACGAUGAAAACAACCUCAUCGUAGUCAACUCUUGAACUUGUUAUUUCAACAAGUCGAGCUUUAUGGAUAAAACAUUUUAUCCGUAUCAGUUUUAAGUUCCAUAAAUAUUCGUUAGACUCUAAGUCUUCCGAAAGGUGUAUCGAGGUUUUAAUCUUGAAUCACUUAUAUGGAAACUAACUCGAGUUGUAUUGGCAUUUAGCCAAUUCUGGAGUUAGGGCCCAUCAACGCUUCCUUGUGUAUCGUAGGUAUAAUGUUGUCCAACAACAAUAUCUCGUUUGCGCACCUGAGAGGUUUGCACGAGCCUUGCCUACGUGGUUUAGCUGCAAGUUCGACCGAAGUUCAUACAUUUUAUUGUAGAGACUUCCGUAUCAGUCACAGUAGGAAACUCUGGAAUUACUUCCAAGGUCUCUUUCCUUUGAUCUGAUGACGAAGAUACUGUUUAUCUCGUCGAGUUGCACUAUUCUCGCACUCAUCUUUUUAAAAGAACCAUUCUCUUUAAAAGCACACCGUUUCGCGGCAAAACUAUUUGCCUCGGUAUAGUGAGGGAGGAAUACCCAACAUUUUGGUAUAACCUACAAAGUAGCACUUGUCUGAUUUGGAAUAGGUUUGUAACCUUUUACACAAGCCCCAUAUUCCAAAUGUUAAGAAAAGAUAUAACAUGGUUGGGCGUACCAUACCAUGGCUUCAUUUCAACAGACCCGAUGUAGCUCUUUUCAGUGUAAAAGCCGCUGUCUCUAAAGCAUCACUUUAAAAAGGAUAAUGGCAAAUUUAUUUAUGUCAUCUUUGACCUUACCAUGUCAUAAAUGGUUAGAUUACAUCUCCACGGACUUUUCACUUGCAGUGGUGUUCCGGAGGUGCAAGUUAUGAAACCUCUUUCACAACUCAUCAGACAUUCGCUAAACAUGUAACUCAAAUAUUCCUUUGUGCAAUCAAAUUGCAGAAACAUAAUUUUCUUGUUACAAUAACUUCUACUUCAUUUUUGAAAACCUUUCGAAUGAUUUCAAAAGAUCCAGACUUACGUCUCAUCAAGCAAAUAUCCAUAUAUCUACUUGAGUCAUUUCUGAAGAUAGAUAAAUCCACUACUUGCAACAACAUUUAUUGAACUACAUACAUCAAAUGUAUGAUCACCAAUAAGCUUUGUUGCUCGUUCCUUAUGGCCUGUGAACGGUAUUUCAGUCUCUUCACUUUUCGGAGGAAAGUUGCAAGCGUCAGAUGAUUCAAAUUCAAACGACUUCAAAAUCCAUCAUAAUGGAAUUUUCCAUGCGGGUUUCUCCAAUGUGACCAAAUGCAGUGCCACACUUGUGUGGUAUUCUUCUAGUCUUGCGACAUUCAGUGUCAGUGUUUAUGGAUGUACCAUAUUACCAUCAAUAUUCAUAACAUACGUCCCAUCGAUGAUGGAAGUAUGGCCCUUAUGUUAUUCAUAAUUCUGAACAACAAUUGUUCUUUUCUGAACAACCCUCUCGCAUCAAACAUUGUGCAAUGGCUAGAGUGUAUGAAACUCUAAAAUGAAUUAUGAAGGUAAACCCAGAGGUAAUGUAUUAAUCAAUAUUCAUAACAUACAUCUCAUUCAUAAUGAAAGUAUGGCCCUUAUGUUAUUCAUAACACCGAACAUGAAAAGUUCUCUUAUGGACAACCUUCUUGCAAGAUACCUUAUGCAAAGGGCUAGAGUGUGAAACUCUAAAAUGAAUUAUGAAAGUAAAUACAUGGGUAAUACACCGAUGGAAGGUAUAGUAACAUUUACUAUGUUCCAUGUGUGUAUCUCAACCUCAUUCCUGGCUAGUCUUUCAGGCCAUAGCAGUUGUUACAUCGAGUUGCAAUAGAAUGCAAUCGAGCGGGCAUUUUGUGAUUAACUCACAAUACCCAAGAAUUAGUGAUUAACAUGUUUAACCAUAAUUCACAAGAACUAUAUCUUUGACGAGCCUUCUAUACAUCAAAAACUUGUAUGACAUUCAUACAUGAGCUGGAUAUUCCAGUCUUCUUUCCUUUUGCUUUUAUACUUCUAACAGUUUAACUUUUAGUAUUUCUCCUACUCUCAGAAGAAGCACCCGUCUUUGCACCCCCACCUCCUUUAUCACUGAGCGGUCAUUUAGGGGCCUUAGCUGGUAACUUAAGAGUGGCAUUAGCCCCGGACUUCCUAGGCGUGAAAGUCUUACUAACACCCUUCGGACACUUCCUUUCUCUUUAAGUUGUUGUUUUAUUCACCUUUCAUCAUAUGGCAGGCGUUCUCCUGGAUCCCUCUUUUAUCAGUCUAAUGCAUAGUAAACACUUUUACUAAUAGUUUGCAAACAAACAUUGCUUUGGAUAUCUCAUAUCUUUUAGCUUUUGUCUGUCUCUGAAAAUGAUUUUCAGAUUCUAUGAAUAUCACAUAACUAUCCAAACUUUCGAAGUUCGGGUCUCAUGGAAGCAAACAUAUUGCACUUGACUGAAACGGAAUUAUAGCUUUUGGAUCGAAGGACGAGAGUCGCAUGAUCCAUAGCAUUAGCGGGAGGAUACGGAAAGCAUGCGAUAGGACAAAGUCCUUCUCGGCACUUUUGAGGACAAUCCUCAUAUUACGUUACCAAUCGUAAAGUUUUAACCAGAUAUUUAACAGCUAUUCAAUUUUUAAUAGGGAAGGUGGAAAUGCGAGCCAUUAUUCUACAACUAUUAUGCAAACCACACUUAGACAGUGUUCAAAAUUAAUUGCAUUGAGAAUUAAACAUGUUAAUUCAACAGUGCGCUCCCACUCAAAUCAAUAUCUCUCAAAAUUGAUUGUGAGUGAUACAAGACCCACAUUUCAAUUGUUCGCCAUUGGUGUAACACCACUGAUGACGAAAAAUCUCAACCGGUAGGCCAACUUGCCAAUCACAUCUCUAUGUGACUCUUGUUCAUCUUUCGAUGCGUGUGUUCCGAGCUCAUGAUGGUCAUGCCUGAACGUCAAGACAACCAAGUGAUCUCGCUGCGAGGUCUCAACUUACCCGCCUCACACUUCUCUAAUCGUUCGUACCCGUGUGACACGGCGCACCCCGAAAAGAUAGGUGUCGUGACGGUGCUACACUUGGGAGAACACUAACUACUUGGUAUUUUUGUGAGAGAUCACCCUAAUAAAAAGCGACUACCGCGCAAUCAAGAAGGGUGCAUCAUAAGGGAUAAACAUCUCAGGCAAUUCAUAAUAGCAUGAUAUGGUAUAGCCCUUUCUGACGGAGAAGUCUUUCAUUUCUUCGUCUUCGGCAUUCGCGUCGGUGUUCACCUUCACGAAGAUUGCCACCACCUUGUCGAUGCACCAGAUAAUAUUGCUAUCUCUAUAGCUAAUAAAAUAAGUGCAUUACUUAAGGUUGACACGCAGGUCAUUAAAGUGACAAUCAUAUGGCUCCAGCCAUCAUGCCGAAUCAUGACACGCAGGUCAUGUUAAUUACAUCAUGUAGUCAUCUCAUACAUAAUCAAAUUGAAUAUGAGCAUUGCUAUACCACAUCACAUGCACAUCCUGCAAAACCAAGUUAGACACCUCUAAUCGGUUUAUGCAAAAUUUUAUUUUACGUGGCUUCUAAGGUUUUGACUUAAACCGCAGCUACCAACGUUUUAUCAUCAAGUAUGAUUAUUCAAGUUGCUAGAUUAACAUCUCGGGGUGUAUGAAACACAAGAUAAUUAAAUCUCGAGCCCCAUACUAAACUUCGUCAUACGCAUGACCCCCGUGCAGAUAAUAUCUGCAAUGCCCUUUCAUCUGUGAAUUUCAUCUUUCUUUUGACUACGGCAGAACCCAAAGAACUGAUAGCACUUCCAUGAUCAAUCAGGAUCACGGAUUGCCAGAACUUUGUCAAAUUCCA
This 19920-nucleotide long non-coding RNA is filed under the name Triticum aestivum (bread wheat). Its description in RNAcentral is "long non-coding RNA (TAES_LNC023538)". The record is from RNAcentral. Lineage: Eukaryota; Viridiplantae; Streptophyta; Magnoliopsida; Poales; Poaceae.